RNAcentral lists this ribosomal RNA (497 nucleotides) under uncultured bacterium. Its description in RNAcentral is "partial 16S ribosomal RNA". It matches the Rfam family "Bacterial small subunit ribosomal RNA", at positions 28 to 507 of the family's 1533-position model. The record is from RNAcentral.
GAUGAACGCUGGCGGCGUGCCUAAUACAUGCAAGUCGAGCGAACGGACGAGAAGCUUGCUUCUCUGAUGUUAGCGGCGGACGGGUGAGUAACACGUGGAUAACCUACCUAUAAGACUGGGAUAACUUCGGGAAACCGGAGCUAAUACCGGAUAAUAUUUUGAACCGCAUGGUUCAAAAGUGAAAGACGGUCUUGCUGUCACUUAUAGAUGGAUCCGCGCUGCAUUAGCUAGUUGGUAAGGUAACGGCUUACCAAGGCAACGAUGCAUAGCCGACCUGAGAGGGGGAUCGGCCACACCGGAACCGAUGCACGGUCCAGACUCCUACGGGAGGCAGCAGUAGGGAAUUUUCCUCCAUGGGCGAAAGGCUGACGGAGCAACGCCGCGUGAGUGAUGAAGGUCUUCUGAUCGUAAACCUCUGUUAUUAGGGAAGAACAUAUGUGUAAGUAACUGUGCACAUCUUGACGGUACCUAAUCAGAAAGCCACGGCUAACUACGUG